GACGAACGCUGGCGGCGUGCUUAACACAUGCAAGUCGAACGGAAAGGCCCUGCUUUUGUGGGGUGCUCGAGUGGCGAACGGGUGAGUAACACGUGAGUAACCUGCCCUUGACUUUGGGAUAACUUCAGGAAACUGGGGCUAAUACCGGAUAUGAGCUCCUGCUGCAUGGUGGGGGUUGGAAAGUUUCGGCGGUUGGGGAUGGACUCGCGGCUUAUCAGCUUGUUGGUGGGGUAGUGGCUUACCAAGGCUUUGACGGGUAGCCGGCCUGGGAGGGUGACCGGGCACAUUGGGACUGAGAUACGGGCCGGACGCCUACGGGAGGCAGAAGUGGGGAAUAGUGCACAAUGGGCGGAAGCCGGAUGCAGCAACGCCGCGUGCGGGAUGACGGCCUUCGGGUUGGAAACCGCUUUCGCCUGUAACGAAGCGUGAGUGACGGUAAUGGGUAAAGAAGCACCGGCUAACUACGUG
This 468-nucleotide ribosomal RNA is filed under the name uncultured bacterium. RNAcentral describes it as "partial 16S ribosomal RNA". It matches the Rfam family "Bacterial small subunit ribosomal RNA", at positions 28 to 507 of the family's 1533-position model. The record is from RNAcentral.